This 433-nucleotide ribosomal RNA is filed under the name uncultured bacterium. Its description in RNAcentral is "partial 16S ribosomal RNA". It matches the Rfam family "Bacterial small subunit ribosomal RNA", at positions 29 to 507 of the family's 1533-position model. The record is from RNAcentral.
AACGAACGCUGGCGGCAUGCCUAACACAUGCAAGUCGAACGAGACCUUCGGGUCUAGUGGCACACGGGUGCGUAACGCGUGGGAACCUGCCCUUAGGUUCGGAAUAACUCCCCGAAAGGGGUGCUAAUACCGGAUAAUGUCUUCGGACCGAAGAUUUAUCGCCUUUGGAUGGGCCCGCGUUGGAUUAGCUAGUUGGUAGGGUAAAAGCCUACCAAGGCGACGAUCCAUAGCUGGUCUGAGAGGAUGAUCAGCCACACUGGGACUGAGACACGGCCCAGACUCCUACGGGAGGCAGCAGUGGGGAAUAUUGGACAAUGGGCGAAAGCCUGAUCCAGCAAUGCCGCGUGAGUGAUGAAGGCCUUAGGGUUGUAAAGCUCUUUUACCCGGGAUGAUAAUGACAGUACCGGGAGAAUAAGCUCCGGCUAACUCCGUG